This 1281-nucleotide ribosomal RNA is filed under the name Bacillus paralicheniformis. Its description in RNAcentral is "bacterial SSU rRNA". It matches the Rfam family "Bacterial small subunit ribosomal RNA", at positions 73 to 1338 of the family's 1533-position model. The record is from RNAcentral. Lineage: Bacteria; Bacillati; Bacillota; Bacilli; Caryophanales; Bacillaceae.
CGGGAGCUUGCUCCCUUAGGUCAGCGGCGGACGGGUGAGUAACACGUGGGUAACCUGCCUGUAAGACUGGGAUAACUCCGGGAAACCGGGGCUAAUACCGGAUGCUUGAUUGAACCGCAUGGUUCAAUUAUAAAAGGUGGCUUUUAGCUACCACUUACAGAUGGACCCGCGGCGCAUUAGCUAGUUGGUGAGGUAACGGCUCACCAAGGCAACGAUGCGUAGCCGACCUGAGAGGGUGAUCGGCCACACUGGGACUGAGACACGGCCCAGACUCCUACGGGAGGCAGCAGUAGGGAAUCUUCCGCAAUGGACGAAAGUCUGACGGAGCAACGCCGCGUGAGUGAUGAAGGUUUUCGGAUCGUAAAACUCUGUUGUUAGGGAAGAACAAGUACCGUUCGAAUAGGGCGGUACCUUGACGGUACCUAACCAGAAAGCCACGGCUAACUACGUGCCAGCAGCCGCGGUAAUACGUAGGUGGCAAGCGUUGUCCGGAAUUAUUGGGCGUAAAGCGCGCGCAGGCGGUUUCUUAAGUCUGAUGUGAAAGCCCCCGGCUCAACCGGGGAGGGUCAUUGGAAACUGGGGAACUUGAGUGCAGAAGAGGAGAGUGGAAUUCCACGUGUAGCGGUGAAAUGCGUAGAGAUGUGGAGGAACACCAGUGGCGAAGGCGACUCUCUGGUCUGUAACUGACGCUGAGGCGCGAAAGCGUGGGGAGCGAACAGGAUUAGAUACCCUGGUAGUCCACGCCGUAAACGAUGAGUGCUAAGUGUUAGAGGGUUUCCGCCCUUUAGUGCUGCAGCAAACGCAUUAAGCACUCCGCCUGGGGAGUACGGUCGCAAGACUGAAACUCAAAGGAAUUGACGGGGGCCCGCACAAGCGGUGGAGCAUGUGGUUUAAUUCGAAGCAACGCGAAGAACCUUACCAGGUCUUGACAUCCUCUGACAACCCUAGAGAUAGGGCUUCCCCUUCGGGGGCAGAGUGACAGGUGGUGCAUGGUUGUCGUCAGCUCGUGUCGUGAGAUGUUGGGUUAAGUCCCGCAACGAGCGCAACCCUUGAUCUUAGUUGCCAGCAUUCAGUUGGGCACUCUAAGGUGACUGCCGGUGACAAACCGGAGGAAGGUGGGGAUGACGUCAAAUCAUCAUGCCCCUUAUGACCUGGGCUACACACGUGCUACAAUGGGCAGAACAAAGGGCAGCGAAGCCGCGAGGCUAAGCCAAUCCCACAAAUCUGUUCUCAGUUCGGAUCGCAGUCUGCAACUCGACUGCGUGAAGCUGGAAUCGCUAG